Molecule: transfer RNA, 54 nt
Filed under: Lycosa fasciiventris
Lineage: Eukaryota; Metazoa; Arthropoda; Arachnida; Araneae; Lycosidae
Description: tRNA-Leu
Source: RNAcentral
AUUAUAUUGGCAGAAAUAAUGCAUUAGAAUUAGAAUCUAAUUAACUAUAUAUCA